RNAcentral lists this ribosomal RNA (114 nucleotides) under Lepisosteus oculatus (spotted gar). The record is from RNAcentral. Lineage: Eukaryota; Metazoa; Chordata; Actinopteri; Semionotiformes; Lepisosteidae.
GUAGUAUACCAUAUCACCCUGCAACUCACAACUGGCAACCCACUGAAGCUAAGCAGGUAUGAGCCUGAUUAGUACCUGGAUGGGAGACCUCCUGGGAUAACUAAGGUUGCUGCU